AACGCACCUUGCGCCUCUUGGUAUUCCGAGGGGCACGCCUGUUUGAGUAUCGUGAAAUCCUCAACCCGAUUCCUUUUCGUCGAGAAAGGGGAACGAGGGCUUGGACUUUGGAGGUCUUGCCGGUCCCCCCCGAUCGGCUCCUCUCGAAUGCAUUAGUGGAGCUCGUAAGCUCUCUCCGCCCCUCGGUGUGAUAGUCAUCUAUGCCGAUGCGUGAGGGAGGGAAGGCGCCGCUUCUAACGAACCAUGCCUCGCCUUGUGCGAGAGCGUGGAUAUGGAACCCUUUGAUCUCAAAUCAGGCGGGACUACCCGCUGAACUUAA
RNAcentral lists this unclassified non-coding RNA (319 nucleotides) under uncultured fungus. Its description in RNAcentral is "sequence contains ITS2". Lineage: Eukaryota; Fungi. The record is from RNAcentral.